ACGCACGCUGGCGGCAUGCCUAACACAUGCAAGUCGCACGCGACCUUCGGGUCUAGUGGCGCACGGGUGCGUAACGCGUGGGAACCUGCCCUUAGGUUCGGAAUAACUCCCCGAAAGGGGUGCUAAUACCGGAUAAUGUCUUCGGACCAAAGAUUUAUCGCCUUUGGAUGGGCCCGCGUUGGAUUAGCUAGUUGGUAGGGUAAAAGCCUACCAAGGCGACGAUCCAUAGCUGGUCUGAGAGGAUGAUCAGCCACACUGGGACUGAGACACGGCCCAGACUCCUACGGGAGGCAGCAGUGGGGAAUAUUGGACAAUGGGCGAAAGCCUGAUCCAGCAAUGCCGCGUGAGUGAUGAAGGCCUUAGGGUUGUAAAGCUCUUUUACCCGGGAUGAUAAUGACAGUACCGGGAGAAUAAGCUCCGGCUAACUCCGUG
This 432-nucleotide ribosomal RNA is filed under the name uncultured bacterium. Its description in RNAcentral is "partial 16S ribosomal RNA". It matches the Rfam family "Bacterial small subunit ribosomal RNA", at positions 29 to 507 of the family's 1533-position model. The record is from RNAcentral.